AUUGAACGCUGGCGGCAGGCCUAACACAUGCAAGUCGAACGAGUGGCGGACGGGUGAGUAAUGUCUGGGAAACUGCCCGAUGGAGGGGGAUAACUACUGGAAACGGUAGCUAAUACCGCAUACCCUCGGAUGUGCCCAGAUGGGAUUAUCUAGUGGGUGGGGUAACGGCUCACCUAGGCGACGAUCUCUAGCUGGUCUGAGCGGAUGACCAACCACCCUGGAACUGAGACACGGUCCAUCCUCCUCCGGGAGGCAGCAGUGUGGAAUUGUGCACAAUGGGCGCAAGCCUGAUGCAGCCAUGCCGCGUGUAUGAAGAAGGCCUUCGGGUUGUAAAGUACUUUCAGCGAGGAGGCGUUACUCGCAGAAGAAGCACCGGCUAACUCCGUGCCAGCAGCCGCGGUAAUAC
RNAcentral lists this ribosomal RNA (406 nucleotides) under uncultured bacterium. Its description in RNAcentral is "partial 16S ribosomal RNA". It matches the Rfam family "Bacterial small subunit ribosomal RNA", at positions 30 to 526 of the family's 1533-position model. The record is from RNAcentral.